This 419-nucleotide ribosomal RNA is filed under the name uncultured bacterium. Its description in RNAcentral is "bacterial SSU rRNA". It matches the Rfam family "Bacterial small subunit ribosomal RNA", at positions 356 to 773 of the family's 1533-position model. The record is from RNAcentral.
AGGGAAUAUUGGGCAAUGGAGGGAACUCUGACCCAGCCAUGCCGCGUGCAGGAAGAAGGCCCUCUGGGUUGUAAACUGCUUUUGAUAGGGAAGAAAGAGGUUAUGCGUAACCAGUUGACGGUACCUAUCGAAUAAGCACCGGCUAACUACGUGCCAGCAGCCGCGGUAAUACGUAGGGUGCAAGCGUUGUCCGGAUUUAUUGGGUUUAAAGGGUGCGUAGGCGGUGGAUUAAGUCAGUGGUGAAAGACGAUCGCUCAACGAUUGCAGUGCCAUUGAUACUGGUUCACUUGAGUAGUGCAGAGGUGGCCGGAAUUGAUCGUGUAGCGGUGAAAUGCAUAGAUAUGAUCAAGAACGCCGAUUGCGAAGGCAGGUCACUGGACACUUACUGACGCUGAGGCACGAAAGUGUGGGGAUCAAAC